UAAAUGAAUAUUAGGUGAAUAUCUUCCGCUUCUCUCUGGUCUCUCUCCGAAGAUGAAGUCAAACAUAAAUUCGAUUCCGAAUCCAAACCCAACUUCUUUCGGUCUCGAACCUGAGCUGGACAACGACCUUGAUGACCUCGACGAAGAUGAAAACAUAGUUUACGAUGAUGAACAGUGGCAGGUUAAAUCCAGUAUCGGUCUCAAUUCCACCCUCGAUUUUGAGCAUUGGUUUGCGGCACACUCGUUUACUAUCACUGCGCUUUCAAGAAUUCUGCCAUCUUCUAUCUUUUCUCCGAUGUUUUUAUUGUUCUACUCUGCUCCCUCGCCACUCUCGGUCUCCUCUUCCAGCAAAUGACCAUUCAGGAUGACCGUGUCAAAUUGGUGAGGGAAGGAAAACAUCAGGCACUUUUAAGGCUGUGGUAGCUAUUGAGCAUGUGAUGGAGUCCAAGUCUAGUACGAAUUCUUCUCCGGGUUCUGUUCUGCAUCAAGACCAUGUUGGAGAUUUAUCAAAGGGUUGUCUGCGGAUGAAAGUGUCACUAUUAAUGAAAUUAGAAGAAAAAAGAGCCAAAGUGAGAAAACAGAGAAGAUACGUGAAAGAGGAGAAGAGGAAGAGAACCUUCAAGAGAUUCAAGCUCUAAGGUAAGGUGGGACUCUUUGGGUUAGUAAUUAUUAUACAAUCAAGGGUAGUAGAAUGAAUUAGAAUUGUUGUUUGAUUCAAUUGUAUGUGUUGGGUUUUGGGGUAGUUAGGUUUUGAGUAAUCUCAUAACUUUUAUGUGAAUUUGAUGAAUUGGAUGAUAAUGUUCAAGUAUGUUGUUGAUUGAUGUUAAAACAUGUUAGAAUAGUGUUAUAACAUGUAAAUUGGUGUUGUUUCGAUGUAUAAUUCGUAUUGGUACGAGAUAGAAAUCAUGGA
Molecule: RNA transcript, 910 nt
Organism: Vicia villosa (hairy vetch)
Lineage: Eukaryota; Viridiplantae; Streptophyta; Magnoliopsida; Fabales; Fabaceae
Exons: 5
Source: RefSeq, a predicted model, not a curated record